RNAcentral lists this ribosomal RNA (504 nucleotides) under Ferrimonas sp. 7Bb1S11. RNAcentral describes it as "bacterial SSU rRNA". It matches the Rfam family "Bacterial small subunit ribosomal RNA", at positions 380 to 876 of the family's 1533-position model. The record is from RNAcentral. RNAcentral also lists the same sequence under 1 other name. Lineage: Bacteria; Pseudomonadati; Pseudomonadota; Gammaproteobacteria; Alteromonadales; Ferrimonadaceae.
AGCCUGAUGCAGCCAUGCCGCGUGUGUGAAGAAGGCCUUCGGGUUGUAAAGCACUUUCAGCGAGGAGGAAAGGUUAGUGGUUAAUACCCGCUAGCUGUGACGUUACUCGCAGAAGAAGCACCGGCUAACUCCGUGCCAGCAGCCGCGGUAAUACGGAGGGUGCGAGCGUUAAUCGGAAUUACUGGGCGUAAAGCGCAUGCAGGCGGCCAAGUCAGUCAGAUGUGAAAGCCCCGGGCUUAACCUGGGAAUUGCAUUUGAUACUGCUUGGCUAGAGUCCUUGAGAGGGGGGUAGAAUUUCAGGUGUAGCGGUGAAAUGCGUAGAGAUCUGAAGGAAUACCAGUGGCGAAGGCGGCCCCCUGGCAAGAGACUGACGCUCAGAUGCGAAAGCGUGGGGAGCAAACAGGAUUAGAUACCCUGGUAGUCCACGCCGUAAACGAUGUCUAUUAGGAGUGUGUGACCUUGAGGCGUGGGUUCCAAAGCUAACGCAUUAAAUAGACCGCCUGG